CCCUUUCAUAUUGCAACAGAAACAGAAACACAGACACUAACGAAUAGACGUAGACAAGAGGAGACGGUGUGGCCUGACAUAUGCCUCUAGACUGCAUUGUGAUAAGUGAAGUAAUAGUGAUGAUAUCUAAUGAUUCAUGCCCACUUUAUUUUAACAAAGAUGUCAAUUUGUGACCAAGGAAAAUCAUCCUUGGGACUGGCUUUGUUGAGGUCAUAAAAGCCAACGCACACGACUCUACCGUCGUUUUACAGGACAAGAAAUAUGGAAUGUCCGGGGAAGUGGAUAGAGAUCAAACUUUUGGCUCCUGGUUUGUUUUUAUGUUUCUUUGUGGACUUCGAUUUUGAAGCCUCUUUAAUACAAAGACAUUAUUUUGCAUAGUUGGAAGCUUUUUUUUUGUAAAGGGAGCUCCCUACUUGUGAGUUUUUUUUGUAUGCUAGUGUAUUCUUUCAUUUCUAUGUCUAAUUUGGGAAUCAAACUAGUAUCAGGAAUUCAUGAGCAUAACCUAUUCCCACAUAUAUAUGUGUAUAUAUAUAUAUAUGUUAUAUUUUCUUAAGAAAUAUCCAACAUAGAUCUUAAGAUAAGUCUCACAAAUUUUGUACUUUCUUAAGAAUUAAUGCCAAC
Molecule: long non-coding RNA, 621 nt
Filed under: Cucumis sativus (cucumber)
Lineage: Eukaryota; Viridiplantae; Streptophyta; Magnoliopsida; Cucurbitales; Cucurbitaceae
Description: long non-coding RNA (CSAT_LNC002858)
Source: RNAcentral